UGCUGGCUUUAAGAUGCUGUUGUGAUCUAUUAUGCCAUUUGUGCUGGUUGGAAUCAGUGGCAGAGGACGUUUUGUGUGUGAGGUGGAGGUUAAUCUGACUCCAGGCAGCCGGCACUGACAUAAAUCAAGUGUCUGCACUGACAGACUGCCUGUGUGGGGCUCUGGGCCAGAGAGACGAGAUAGGAAGACAUGGAGGAUUUGAAGAGAAACCUGUUUCCGGCAACCUAACAACCUCUGCUCCUCCGUCAGAGAGCUGAACCAGACUUGACUUCACACCCAGAUGCAUGACUGAAAGUUUUAUGAUGACUAUGAAAAUCCAUUCUGCUGAGCCCGAACACCAAAGAUGAGAUGAGGAGAGAAAAGAGAGAGUGAAACAGAAGGGUGGAGACGUGACGGAUGUGUUCGCAAUCAUGGUGUCCAAGGCAAAGACUCGAACAUUGUGGUCAACUCCUCUCUGCUUCUCAAGUCCGCCAAUGUACAUUGAGCUACUGAACUGGUAACAGCAAG
This is a long non-coding RNA of Danio aesculapii, 507 nucleotides long. RefSeq lists it as uncharacterized. NCBI's taxonomy places the organism in Eukaryota, Metazoa, Chordata, Actinopteri, Cypriniformes, Danionidae. The transcript has 3 exons. The record is from RefSeq and is a predicted model, not a curated record.